RNAcentral lists this ribosomal RNA (488 nucleotides) under uncultured Propionibacterium sp. Its description in RNAcentral is "bacterial SSU rRNA". It matches the Rfam family "Bacterial small subunit ribosomal RNA", at positions 8 to 507 of the family's 1533-position model. Lineage: Bacteria; Bacillati; Actinomycetota; Actinomycetes; Propionibacteriales; Propionibacteriaceae. The record is from RNAcentral.
AGAGUUUGAUCCUGGCUCAGGACGAACGCUGGCGGCGUGCUUAACACAUGCAAGUCGAACGGAAAGGCCCUGCUUUUGUGGGGUGCUCGAGUGGCGAACGGGUGAGUAACACGUGAGUAACCUGCCCUUGACUUUGGGAUAACUUCAGGAAACUGGGGCUAAUACCGGAUAGGAGCUCCUGCUGCAUGGUGGGGGUUGGAAAGUUUCGGCGGUUGGGGAUGGACUCGCGGCUUAUCAGCUUGUUGGUGGGGUAGUGGCUUACCAAGGCUUUGACGGGUAGCCGGCCUGAGAGGGUGACCGGCCACAUUGGGACUGAGAUACGGCCCAGACUCCUACGGGAGGCAGCAGUGGGGAAUAUUGCACAGUGGGCGGAAGCCUGAUGCAGCAACGCCGCGUGCGGGAUGACGGCCUUCGGGUUGUAAACCGCUUUCGCCUGUGACGAAGCGUGAGUGACGGUAAUGGGUAAAGAAGCACCGGCUAACUACGUG